RNAcentral lists this ribosomal RNA (475 nucleotides) under uncultured Entrophospora. Its description in RNAcentral is "SSU rRNA". It matches the Rfam family "Eukaryotic small subunit ribosomal RNA", at positions 569 to 1041 of the family's 1831-position model. Lineage: Eukaryota; Fungi; Glomeromycota; Glomeromycetes; Entrophosporales; Entrophosporaceae. The record is from RNAcentral.
AGCAGCCGCGGUAAUUCCAGCUCCAAUAGCGUAUAUUAAAGUUGUUGCAGUUAAAAAGCUCGUAGUUGAAUUUCGGGAUUGGCGCAUCGGUCGUGCCUCACGGGGUAUGAACUGGUGCAGUCAAUUUCUCACCUUCUGGAGAACCGCGAUGUCCUUAAUUGGAUGCCGCGGGGAACCAGGACCUUUACUUUGAAAAAAAUUGAGUGUUUAAAGCAGGCAUUUUUGCUUGAAUACAUUAGCAUGGAAUAAUAAAAUAGGACGGCAUGGUUCUAUUUUGUUGGUUUCUAGGACCACCGUAAUGAUUAAUAGGGAUAGUUGGGGGCAUUAGUAUUCAAUUGUCAGAGGUGAAAUUCUUGGAUUUAUUGAAGACUAACUACUGCGAAAGCAUUUGCCAAGGAUGUUUUCAUUAAUCAAGAACGAAAGUUAGGGGAUCGAAGACGAUCAGAUACCGUCGUAGUCUUAACCAUAAACUAUG